This 21-nucleotide unclassified non-coding RNA is filed under the name Mus musculus (house mouse). Its description in RNAcentral is "oocyte_clustered_small_RNA12678". Lineage: Eukaryota; Metazoa; Chordata; Mammalia; Rodentia; Muridae. The record is from RNAcentral.
UUCAAUCGCCACAUCAGCAGG